GGACGGGUGAGUAAUGCCUAGGAAUCUGCCUGGUAGUGGGGGACAACGUUUUCGAAAGGAACGCUAAUACCGCAUACGUCCUACGGGAGAAAGCAGGGGACCUUCGGGCCUUGCGCUAUCAGAUGAGCCUAGGUCGGAUUAGCUAGUUGGUGAGGUAAUGGCUCACCAAGGCGACGAUCCGUAACUGGUCUGAGAGGAUGAUCAGUCACACUGGAACUGAGACACGGUCCAGACUCCUACGGGAGGCAGCAGUGGGGAAUAUUGGACAAUGGGCGAAAGCCUGAUCCAGCCAUGCCGCGUGUGUGAAGAAGGUCUUCGGAUUGUAAAGCACUUUAAGUUGGGAGGAAGGGUUGUAGAUUAAUACUCUGCAAUUUUGACGUUACCGACAGAAUAAGCACCGGCUAACUCUGUGCCAGCAGCCGCGGUAAUACAGAGGGUGCAAGCGUUAAUCGGAAUUACUGGGCGUAAAGCGCGCGUAGGUGGUUUGUUAAGUUGGAUGUGAAAGCCCCGGGCUCAACCUGGGAACUGCAUUCAAAACUGACAAGCUAGAGUAUGGUAGAGGGUGGUGGAAUUUCCUGUGUAGCGGUGAAAUGCGUAGAUAUAGGAAGGAACACCAGUGGCGAAGGCGACCCCUGGACUGAUACUGACACUGAGGUGCGAAAGCGUGGGAGCAAACAGGAUUAGAUACCCUGGUAGUCCACGCCGUAAACGAUGUCAACUAGCCGUUGGGAGCCUUGAGCUCUUAGUGGCGCAGCUAACGCAUUAAGUUGACCGCCUGGGGAGUACGGCCGCAAGGUUAAAACUCAAAUGAAUUGACGGGGGCCCGCACAAGCGGUGGAGCAUGUGGUUUAAUUCGAAGCAACGCGAAGAACCUUACCAGGCCUUGACAUCCAAUGAACUUUCCAGAGAUGGAUUGGUGCCUUCGGGAACAUUGAGACAGGUGCUGCAUGGCUGUCGUCAGCUCGUGUCGUGAGAUGUUGGGUUAAGUCCCGUAACGAGCGCAACCCUUGUCCUUAGUUACCAGCACGUAAUGGUGGGCACUCUAAGGAGACUGCCGGUGACAAACCGGAGGAAGGUGGGGAUGACGUCAAGUCAUCAUGGCCCUUACGGCCUGGGCUACACACGUGCUACAAUGGUCGGUACAGAGGGUUGCCAAGCCGCGAGGUGGAGCUAAUCCCAUAAAACCGAUCGUAGUCCGGAUCGCAGUCUGCAACUCGACUGCGUGAAGUCGGAAUCGCUAGUAAUCGCGAAUCAGAAUGUCGCGGUGAAUACGUUCCCGGGCCUUGUACACACCGCCCGUCACACCAUGGGAGUGGGUUGCACCAGAAGUAGCUAGUCUAACCUUCGGGGGGACGGUUACCACGGUGUGAUUCAUGACUGGGG
This 1383-nucleotide ribosomal RNA is filed under the name Pseudomonas putida. RNAcentral's name for it is "16S ribosomal RNA". It matches the Rfam family "Bacterial small subunit ribosomal RNA". Lineage: Bacteria; Pseudomonadati; Pseudomonadota; Gammaproteobacteria; Pseudomonadales; Pseudomonadaceae. The record is from RNAcentral.